ACGAACGCUGGCGGCGUGCUUCAUACAUGCAAGUCGAACGGGAUUCAAUCAGUGGCAACACUGAGGAAGAUCUAGUGGCGAACGGGUGAGUAACACGUGAGGAACCUAUCCCGGUCUCUGGAAUAACAGGUGGAAACACCUGCUAAUACCGGAUGCCGUCGGAGCCCCUCCUGGGGUGUCGACGAAAGAUUUAUCGGAUCGGGCGGGCCUCGCGGCCUAUCAGCUAGUUGGUGGGGUAACGGCCUACCAAGGCAUCGACGGGUAGCUGGUCUGAGAGGAUGAUCAGCCACACUGGGACUGAGACACGGCCCAGACUCCUACGGGAGGCAGCAGUAGGGAAUCUUGCGCAAUGGGCGAAAGCCUGACGCAGCAACGCCGCGUGCGGGAAGAAGGCUCUCGGGUUGUAAACCGCUUUCAGUAGGAACGAAAUUGACGGUACCUGCAGAAGAAGGUGCGGCCAACUACGU
RNAcentral lists this ribosomal RNA (467 nucleotides) under uncultured bacterium. RNAcentral's name for it is "bacterial SSU rRNA". It matches the Rfam family "Bacterial small subunit ribosomal RNA", at positions 29 to 506 of the family's 1533-position model. The record is from RNAcentral.